UAUCUAGUUCUUAUAUUUUAAAUUAACCCAUUUCUAUAAAUCUAUACCUUGCCACUUGGCUCGUGGCUUAUCGGUAUCUUAACAUCAUGCUUCUCAUCCCGGUGGCUGGCAGUGUCUCUGUGCCUCAACCUUCCACUUCCCAGAAUUCUCCUCUCUCCUUGGCCUGCCCUUACUUCCUGCCUGGCUACUGGCCAAUCAGCACUUUAUCAAUCAAUCAUCCAUAGCAGUUAGCCUCUAAGUGCCACACAUAGCCAACUUGCUGGUGUUUUACCUCACAUGGACCUCGAUAGUUCUGAUAUCUCAGAGCUUUUUAACAGGAAAAUACGUGGUUGACUGCUGUACUCAAAAUACUUUGUGAGAUUAAGAGAAGUAAAAACCUCAGGCUUCUCUGCCAGGAAGGCUAGUGAGGAGUGAGGCACCUCCCAGCAUCCUGGCUUGUUGGUAACAGCCAAGUGACUGGGUUAUAUGUCUGAACUGGUGUGUUUGGAUGCCUGGAAGUGAAGAACAAGGAAAGGCAGUAAGGAGCUUGCAAUAGUUGCCGCAGCCCUGCAGUAUUAGGAGGUAUUUCAGGACAGAAUGCUUGUUCCCCACAGUAGAGGAACGGAGUGAGCCCGUUCCCAUGUGCCGGUGUGAAGGGCUGCUUUCUGCUGUGUCUCACUCGGGAUGCCACUGGGGCCAGCUUAGUUAGACAGGGAAUUAAAAAUGAAAGAGGCAGUGGCUGUACAUGAGGGAAGGCUCAGACCAUGAUGUUCUCUGCAGAAGGAAGGAACAGGAGUAGAGUAUGCCUCCGACCUGUGGUGUGUAAGUUGGGAAUUAGAGGAAGAGAUUGAUGGAUCCUGCAUAAGGUUAAAAAGUUUAAAAAAAAAAAAAAAAAGAGUCCUUGCAAUUGAUAAUUUACAUGUGAAAGACAGAAAAGACACACCCACAAAAAAUUAAACUCUCAGAAUUUGUAGCCAGUCUGAUGGGUGUGUAUGGAUAGCAUUUACCUAAAUGGACCAUAUUCUGAAUCAUAAAACUUGUCUCAAAUCAUAAAAAGUAUAUUCUUUUACCACAGAAGAAUAAAACCUACUUUUAAGAAAACAUUAAGCCCAGUGAAAAAGUAGGCAAAAAAACUGAAUAAAUCUUUACUUUACCAAUAGAGGGGUUGGGGAAGUACAGUGAAGUUGUUACUGCACGGGAUCAAGACUUGAGGUUCAUCCUCAUAUAAACAGCCAGACUUGUGAUAUCCUCUUGUAAUUCCUAUGCCAGCCAGCCUAGUCUACAUGGUAAGUCUCAGGAGCAGUGAGGCACCCUGUCUUAAAAUCAGGUGGUCAGCUCCCGAGUAAAAGCGCCCAGUCAAACCCCCCUUCUACAUACAUGCACAUGUAACCAUGUAAUGACACACACAUGAAUAUGCCCCUACAGUUUGUGCAUACUCAUAGUUUUCCAAAAGAAUAGAUAUAAAUGUUCAGCUUUAUAAGUAUGAAAGAAAUGAAGAGAUUAGAUGCUGGAGAGAUAGCUCAGCAGUCGAAAGGGUGUGCUUCUCUUAUAAAGGAUCUAGGUUCAGUUCCCAGCACCAACAAGGUCAACUCACAACUGCCUGCAACUUCUACUUUAUGGGCAUUGGAUGCCUCGUGGCACAGACACACAUAUACACGUAAUUAGAAGUCUUUAAAAAAUGAAAAUUAAAGUCACAGUGACAGGUGACCAGGGAUCCACAGUGGUAGAACAUGCAGUCCUGAGUUUGACAUACAGAACCAUAAUAUGGUGCCGUUAUGCAUGUAUAAUUUAAUUAAGAUAUAAAAGAAUCACUCCUGACACUCGCUGUCAAGGAUGAAGAGCAAAUAGAUUUAAAUUGGACAUCUAUUAGCCAUAGUACACAGUCAUACUAUGCUGGGUAUUUACCUAAGAAAAAUGAAAGCAUUUACCCAUAAGAAAAGUUCCAUGGUAAUAUUCAUAUAUUGUUUUUAAUAGAAAAACUUAUCUGCAACCCAAAUGCCUGUGAACAUCUCUGAAUGGAUAAGCAAAUGACAGUGUAUUCAUAUAAUGAAGCCUACUUAGCACUUAAAAAUGAAUAAAUUGCUGAUAGAUAAAGUAUCUGUAGAUCUCAAAA
Peromyscus leucopus (white-footed mouse) is the source of this 2092-nucleotide long non-coding RNA. RefSeq lists it as uncharacterized. The transcript has 2 exons. The record is from RefSeq and is a predicted model, not a curated record. NCBI's taxonomy places the organism in Eukaryota, Metazoa, Chordata, Mammalia, Rodentia, Cricetidae.